This is a long non-coding RNA of Stegostoma tigrinum, 6692 nucleotides long. RefSeq lists it as uncharacterized. NCBI's taxonomy places the organism in Eukaryota, Metazoa, Chordata, Chondrichthyes, Orectolobiformes, Stegostomatidae. The record is from RefSeq and is a predicted model, not a curated record. The transcript has 3 exons.
UCUGUCCAUUUCACCACAUCAGCUGCACAGUUGUUGCAAUUUGACUUUUCUGCUGCCUGCAACAGCUGCCUCUGUUAGUCGCACUUAAACCACCAAGCUCCUACACACUUGUCUAUUUUAGGUAGUGUUCCUGAAGUCUUAACACCCAAGGGAGCUGCUGGGCUGAGCAGCACUUGCCUCUGGGAUUGCCUUCUAUGUUCUCCUGUCUGAUUCCUUUGUCCAUCACUUGCAGCAGCCUGAAAUCCCUUCUGGAUAUUGCAUUCCGUGGAACUACACCAAGAUGUAUUGUAAUUGUCAGUAAUAACAGACUUGCCAAUCUCCCAGCCAGGCUCUGUCAUCUCAGUGACCUGUUCGUCUAUAAGCUAGCAUUGGAAAGAUCCAAUCUCAUUUCUUUAGUCACAGAAAAGCUUGAACCUUUUUUUUUCAAAAGAAAACAAAAUGAAUGAAAUAUAAUGUACUGAAACUAUUUGUGACAUAUUCUCGUCGGCCUUUAGGUUUGAAUUGUUUUGAGAUGGUAUGUUUGAUAAGGAAGAUGUACCUGCAAAAUCGAUACGCUGUUUUUUUUACCGUUUUGCAAGUUUCUAUUGGCUUGCUUGACUUCCUAUGAGCCAAAGUUUAAAUGAAGCGUCACGUAUAACUACCAUGACAGAAUGUAUUACUGUAUGUAACAUAAACAGCUAAUUUAUCGGCCACAAAAACUAUUUUUUGUAUUCACAGAAAUAAAAAAAAAACAGAUUUCAAAGGAAAUUCCGAGUCUCAGGCGGGGUUUUCUGCAAGUUAGCGUUGAGAAAGGAAAAGUCACUGCACUAUUGCUGGACCACGGGGGCUGCUCUCUGUCAUUAGAGAGAGAGAGAGAGAGACUACUGAUGGUGGUUUAACUUGAGGGCCACCACACCUCGGGCGAGGGGAGAGGUCGAGAAGGUUGUGACCGUUGCUCAGACCAGUGAGUUUAGGAGUUGGGAUGUCAUGUUGCAGUCAUACAGGACAUUAGUGAGCCCACCUUUGGAGUACUGCGCACAGUUCUGGUUGCCGUGCCCACAGGAAGGAUAUUAGCCAAUUGGAAAAGGUACAGAAAUGAUUAACAAGGAUUUUACUGGGACUGGAGGGUUUGAGUUAUUUGGAUAGGCUGGGACAUUUUUCUCUGGAGGUUGAGAGGUGAUCUAAUAGAAGUUUAUAAAACCAUGAGGGACAUAGAUAAAGUCAACAGCAAAGGUUCUUUUUCCCCAAAAUAGGGGAGUUCAAAACUAGAGGGCAUAAUUUUAAGGUGAGAGGAGAAAGAUUUAAAAGGAACCCGAGGGGCAACUUUUUCACACACAAGGUGGUUUGUGUGUGGGAUGAACUGCCAGAGGAAGUGGCCGUUGCAGAAACAGUUAGAAUGUUUAAGACACAUUUGAAUAGGUAUAUGAAUAGGAAAGGUUGAGAGGGAAAUGGGCCAAGAACAGGCAAAGGGGACUAAAAUUGUUUCAGAUAGUAGGAACCGCAGAUGCUGAGAUAACAAGGUGUAGAGCUGGAUGAACACAGCAGGCCAAGCAGCAUCAGAGGAGCAGGAAGGCUGACGUUUCCGGCCUAGGCCCAAAACAUCAGCCUUCCUGCUACUCUGAUACUGCAUUCAUCCAGCUCUACACUUUGUUAUCAAAGGGGACUAAUUUGGUUUUGGAAGCUUGGUCAGCAUGGACAUGUUGGAUCAGAGGGUCAGCUUUCAUGCUGUAUGUCUUUAGGUAACCUCAGGCAGUGCGCAAGUUGAACCCACAAUGGUGGUGUUACUCCCAUGUUAUGAACUAAUCAUGCAGCUAAUUGAGCCAACUGACCACUGUAGAACCGCCCUUCAUUAAGAAUUUUGAAUUAGCAUUGGAAUUAGAAGUUAGAAUUAGGAAUUAGAAUUAAUUGCCAUGUUACUCAAGUACAGGGAUAGAGGAGUACGCUGAAAGGUGUAUAAUGUCACCAUUCCUGGUGCCAUCUUGGAUACAAGGAACCUAGGUACAAAAUCUUGGGUUAAAAAGUAGAAAAAGAAAUAAGUUAAAAGCUCAAUAUUACAUUCUGCCUGCCCACUCUGACCGAGGCAAAUCCUGUGAAUCUAUUGACCCCGUGCUGUGUCAGCUUCCAGCCUGCCAACAUCUUGUUUUAAAAUUCUCACCCUGGUUUUCAAACCCCUCCACCGCCAUCUCCACCUGGGUCUACAGCCACCAUCUGAGCUGGCUGCUCUGCUCUGUUCAUUCAGAAGAUAACGCCUCAGAUGGGAGGCGCCUCUCCCUACAGUGACCCCAGACCUGGGAUAUGUGAUCUCCCAUCGGGGUCUGAUGAUGUGGAGGUGCUGCUGUUGGACUGGGGUGGGCAGGGUCAGAAAUUAUAUGAUUUCUGAUUAUUGUUAUAGUCCAACAGGUUUAUUUGAAUGAAAACACAAGCUUUCAGAGCCCAAUGAGGCAGCGAAAGGGUUACGUAGGUAAAGUACAUGACCCCCUGUGAAAUCAGAAACGGGGCUAACCAACUCUGCCGCAGAAAACAGGUUGAGGCUAAAAAUAAUGAAGGAAUUAGACAUAGUUCUUGGGGCUAAAGAGAUCAAAGGGCUUGUGGAGAAAGUGGGAACAGAGGACCAAGUUGGAUGAUCAGCCAUCGUCAUAUUAAAUGGUGGAGCAGACUGAAAGGACCAAACAAUUUACUCUUGUUCCUGUUUUCUUUGUUUCCAACAGGAAUGGUGCCUGAGCUGGGCCAAAUUCCUGGGCCCUCCCUCCGCCUCUCGCUUGCAGCAUGGAGGGUGCCCCUAAUGCCCUCACAGACUGCAGUGAUGCCUCUCUAUCCCCUCCUCAGCAGCAAUGAAGCAUAGACAACAGAACUGGAAAGGCACAGAGGGUCAGUUAGCAUCCACGGAGCAGGAAAGUCAACAUUUCGGGGAAAACCCUUCAGCCUGCUCCCCGGAUGCUGUCUGACCUGCUGUGCUUUUCCAGCUGCACAUUUAUUGACUCCAGCAUCCAGCAUCUGCGGUCCUUACUGCCUCCAAGGACAGAAAACAGACACUGACCCACAGUGGGCUCUUUCUGAGUCGCACAUGAAAUAUAAAUUAUUGGACAGUCACAUCGCACAGUCAGUCGUGUAACCUUUUGAUUGUUCCAGAAUAAUCUUUGGAUCUUUUUUAUUUCCCUCAAAAUGUGAACAUGCAGAAAGAGAGGGAAAGAAGCCUGUGAUAAGCCUAUUUCUGAACAUCAGCCAUGUGAUGGAAGUUGUGAUUGUGUGGAGUGAAGGGUAACAGCUGGCCUGGGAGGACAAUUCCCUGCUCUCUUUGGCUGGACAUCUGAAAGCCAGCACUUCUGACAAAGCAACAGCCCCUCAGCACUGCACUGUGACUGUCAGCUGCCAAGAUAGUCAAUGGAAUGGUUUAGUGGUUGGGACCAAGUCAUUAUCAUCUCUUUCAUUUUGAUCAUCAUCUCCACCGCGCCCCACUCCCCCAACAACCCUUCACUCCAUAGUGUGUUGUGUCUCAUGGUCCAUGUGUCAAUGUACCUUUAAGAGAUAUUGCAAUGAUCAUCAUUGUGUUAGAGCACAUGACCUGUGGGUGGAUAAGUGUCAUACUCCAUCUUAACCUGGAAUCAUUUCUGAGCAUGGCAUGCUACUGAAAGCAUGGUAAUCUUGCUGUUUACUGUUAGCCUGGACACUUACGUGUUUGGGAAUGUAAUAGGGCUUAAACCUUCUGCGUCAGGCGUGAAGGAGAGCCGGCCAUAAACUGAACGUGGAUAUUGAAUUGAAUUAGCUUUAUUGUCACAUAUACUCAAAUAAGCACAUCAAAAAGUUUACAGUUGCACAUUACAGCUCCACCUUAGGUGCGAAGGCACCUAAGUACAGGUACGUAAGAUCAAAUUCUUAGGAUACCGGAAAAAUUGGAAAAUGUAGAGAAAUGAAAUAGCCCAGCACUAAAGGAAUAAAUCAGAAAAAUAAAGAAGAAAGAAGUUCGGAAUGCCAGCCUUUCUGAGCCAGUCCAUGCCAGCACUUAACCUCAAGGGAACCCCCAUUGCCUUGUUGCUGCCUGCCCUGGACACACCAAUGUCGGGGCUAUGUAUGUGUGUUAUGUCUCACAGUUCAUGUGUCAGUGUACCUUUAAGAGACAUGACCAUAAUCACCAUUGUAUCAGAGUACAUGUAGGCUGGAUGGAUUGGCCGUGCUAAGUUACCGGUAGAAUUCAGGGAUGUGUAGGUUAGGUGGAUUGGCCAUGAGUAAUACAAGGCUAUAGGAUAAGGGUAUGGGUUUGGGUGGGAUGUUCUUCAGAGGGUCGGUGUGGACUUAUUGGGCCAAAUGGCCUGUUUCCACACAGUAGGGAUUCUGUUCUAUGUGACCUGUGGUAUGAAAUUCUCAGACUCCAUCUUAUCCCAGGAUCAUUCGAGCAUGGCAUGCUACUGAAAGCAUGCGAAUCUAGCAGUUUAAUGUCACCCUGGACAUGUGUUUAUGAACAUUGUAACAGUUGUAACAAAUACCUUUGGGUUUUUCUGUAUCACAAUAUCCAUGUCCAGCUUUUAAUAGUAUAUGGGAUGACAUAUGCAUUGGUGCACAAGGUAAAAAUCCCCUGUCAAAUACACAAUGUACAUCACUCCAAAUCUCUCAAAGCUUUUGAUGAUAUGAUCUUGCUAAUAAUUAUCCUAGGCCUGAGGAAGGGUCACUUAACAUGAAACGUUAACUCUGAUUUCCCUCCACAGAUGUUGCCAGCCCUGCUGAGUUUUUCCAGCAAUUUCUGUUUUUGCUUCUAAUCUCCCUGAUUUCUUUUUGAAGAAAACAUGCAGUCCAAGUUUUUUUUAGAAAGCUGCAUUUAUGUAGCAUCCCUAUGGACCUCAGAAUAUUCCAUGGUGCCAUGAAACCUUUGAAUUGUGGUCACGGUUGUGAUGGAGUAAACACAGCAGCAGAAUUGCCACGCAGCAAGAUGCUGCAGACAGCCAUGCGAUAAAAAACUGGAUAAACUGGUUUGUGAUGUCAGCUGAGAGCCAGAAGACUCUUCAAAUAGCAGACGAGGGGAGCCCUUGAGCUGAUACAGCAGGUCAGUGUCUUGGUUAAUGUAUGAUCCAAAAGGGAGCACCUUCAACUGUGUAGCAAUUUCCUUUAUUCAUUAAUGGGAUGAAGAUGUGGCUGGCCAGGCAGCAUUUAUUGCCCAUCCCCAAUUGUCCAGAGGGCAGUUCAGAGUCAAUCACAUUGCUGUGGGCCUGGAGUCACAUGAGACCAGGUGAAAAUGAAGAUCAAGAUGAUAUUCUUCAGAAAAAAGAUGGAAAACAGAUGCCUGCAAUGACAGGGCUACACUGGAAUGAUUGAGCAACUCUGGGCCAAAUCUCAGUUUCAGUUCCUGAGGGAGUGCUGAACAGUCAGACACACUAUCUCACAGAAGAGUCGUUAAAACGUAGCCUGGUCAGUUCUGGAAUGGAUGCACUGUUUCAAAGAGGAGCAGAGAUCCUGGACAAUCUCCAAAAAGAAAACCACCAAUUACAAACAUCUCAUCUUUCUGUUUGUGGGGACUUGUUGUAUGCUAAUUAGUGGCUGCAUUAUCUACGCAAUAACAUUGACUGCACCUCAACAGCCCCCAAUGAACACUGGCUGUUAAAUGAAUUGGGAUACUCUAAGGUUGUGAAAGGCACUACAUAAAUGCAAGAUCUUCCUUUUGAUUAGAUUAAGGAAUAAGGAAAAGACACUAUACAAAUGAAGGAAAAGACACAAUAUAAAUUAAGAAAAAGACACUGUAUAAAUGAAGGAAAACAUACUACAUAAAUGAAAAAAGGCACUAUAUCAAUGCAAGUUUUUCUUUUUGAUUGAAUGGUUGAAUGAAGGGAAAAACAUGAUACAAAUAAAGAAAAGGGCAUCAUAUAAAUGCUAACUUGAUUGAAUACUUAGAUAAAACUAAAGUGUUUUGAAAGGGUGUGGGAAAUGUGAUUAGAAUUAUGGCAAAUGUCAAUGUGGAUGAAUUAGCCUGUUUCUUCAUUAUUACUGCCUUCCUAUGUAUAUGUAAUUAACUCUCCUUUUUAAUGGGUUCUGCUUUUAUCUGGUUGAUGAAAUAGUUUUCGUAUUCUGUGAUAUUUCAGAAUGAAAGUCAAUACAAUCUUGGCCAAUAGUUCACGGUAAUCAGCAGCAAGACCCUCUAAUGAAAACAUCAGUGUAUUUUUGUAGUCAAAUGUCUAACAUUCUCUGAAAUUAUCUGAAAAACAUGCAGUUCAGUUUCCUUUUUGUAAAAUGCAGCCCCACCAGAUCUUUUCAUUACUUCUUCUCUCGAUAUGAAUAUCACUGGCAUGGCACCAAUUGUUUAUCCCCAAUUACCCAAGGAGAAAAUGGUGGUGAACCCCUGUGGUGGGGAUAAUUCCACAGUUUGGUUGGGGAAUGGAAUUUCAGGAUUUUGAUCUAGUGACAAUGUAGCCAUGGUGAUAUGAGUCCACAGUAGGAUAGUUUGUGACUUAGAGUCAUAGAAUGGUACAGCACAGAAACAAAUCCUUCAGACUUGGAAGGUUCCAUGAUAUCGUUGGUGUUCCUAAGUGACUGUGGUCUCUGAGAUGCUGUUUGGCCUGCUGUGUUCAUCCAGCCUCACAUUUUAUUAUCUUGGAAUUCUCCAGCAUCUGCAGUUCCCAUUAUCUCUGUGGUCUCUAUCCUUCCAGGUUUUGGAAAUUGUGGAAUUAGCAGAAUGUGAUGAAGUGUGUUCAGCGAGUUGCUGCAGUGAACACUGUGACAGCCUGUGUCAA